Molecule: ribosomal RNA, 495 nt
Filed under: uncultured bacterium
Lineage: Bacteria
Description: partial 16S ribosomal RNA
Rfam family: Bacterial small subunit ribosomal RNA
Source: RNAcentral
GACGAACGCUGGCGGCGUGCCUAAUACAUGCAAGUAGAACGCUGAAGGAGGAGCUUGCUUCUCUGGAUGAGUUGCGAACGGGUGAGUAACGCGUAGGUAACCAGCCUGGUAGCGGGGGAUAACUAUUGGAAACGAUAGCUAAUACCGCAUAAGAGUAGAUGUCGCAUGACAUUUGCUUAAAAGGUGCAAUUGCAUCACUACCAGAUGGACCUGCGUUGUAUUAGCUAGUUGGUGAGGUAACGGCUCACCAAGGCAACGAUACAUAGCCGACCUGAGAGGGUGAUCGGCCACACUGGGACUGAGACACGGCCCAGACUCCUACGGGAGGCAGCAGUAGGGAAUCUUCGGCAAUGGACGGAAGUCUGACCGAGCAACGCCGCGUGAGUGAAGAAGGUUUUCGGAUCGUAAAGCUCUGUUGUAAGAGAAGAACGAGUGUGAGAGUGGAAAGUUCACACUGUGACGGUAUCUUACCAGAAAGGGACGGCUAACUACGUG